UACGGGGGGGGCAAGCGUUGUUCGGAAUUACUGGGCGUAAAGGGCUCGUAGGUGGCCAACUAAGUCAGACGUGAAAUCCCUCAGCUUAACUGGGGAACUGCGUCUGAUACUGGAUGGCUUGAGUUUGGGAGAGGGAUGCGGAAUUCCAGGUGUAGCGGUGAAAUGCGUAGAUAUCUGGAGGAACACCGGUGGCGAAAGCGCUCAUCUGGCCCGAUACUGACGCUGAAGCACGAAAGCUAGGGGAGCAAACGGG
RNAcentral lists this ribosomal RNA (253 nucleotides) under uncultured prokaryote. RNAcentral's name for it is "partial 16S ribosomal RNA". It matches the Rfam family "Bacterial small subunit ribosomal RNA", at positions 524 to 776 of the family's 1533-position model. The record is from RNAcentral.